RNAcentral lists this ribosomal RNA (497 nucleotides) under uncultured bacterium. Its description in RNAcentral is "partial 16S ribosomal RNA". It matches the Rfam family "Bacterial small subunit ribosomal RNA", at positions 28 to 507 of the family's 1533-position model. The record is from RNAcentral.
GAUGAACGCUGGCGGCGUGCCUAAUACAUGCAAGUCGAGCGAACAGACGAUGAGCUUGCUCCUCUGACGUUAGCGGCGGACGGGUGAGUAACACGUGGAUAACCUACCUAUAAGACUGGGAUAACUUCGGGAAACCGGAUCUAAUACCGGAGAAUCUAUUGAACCGCAUGGUUCAAUGGUGAAAGACGGUUUUGCUGUCACUUAUAGAUGGAUCCCGGCCGCAUUAGCUGGUUGUUAAGUUAACGGGUUACCAAGGCAACGAUGCGUAGCCGACCUGAGAGAGUGAUCGGCCACACUGGAACUGAGCCACGGUCCAGACGCCUACGGUAGGCCGCAGUAGGGAAUCUUCCGCAAUGGGCGAAAGCCUGACGGAGCAACGCCGAGUGAGUGAUGACGAUCUUCGGAUCGUAAAACUCUGUUAUUAGGGAAGAACAAAUGUGUAAGUAACUAUGCACGUAUUGACGGUACCUAGUCAGAAAGCCACGGCUAACUACGUG